CUUAAAAAGACUAACCCCUUAUAAGUAGAUGCGCCCGAAUUAACUAACUAUUUUAGAGUAAUAUGCUAAAAAAAGGUGACAAAGUUAACAGAUCGUAACCAACAAAACGUUAGUCGCAUAUCAUCCGCAUAACACCAUUUUGCGAUACAACGAGCUACAUCGACAACCACCAAGCAGUGCGUUACACCUGAAAUUCCCACACGCUCGAUACAAUAAGCCA
RNAcentral lists this unclassified non-coding RNA (220 nucleotides) under Moritella viscosa. RNAcentral describes it as "putative sRNA". Lineage: Bacteria; Pseudomonadati; Pseudomonadota; Gammaproteobacteria; Alteromonadales; Moritellaceae. The record is from RNAcentral.